This 329-nucleotide ribosomal RNA is filed under the name uncultured eukaryote. Its description in RNAcentral is "partial 18S ribosomal RNA". It matches the Rfam family "Eukaryotic small subunit ribosomal RNA", at positions 1470 to 1796 of the family's 1831-position model. The record is from RNAcentral.
CCCUUAGAUGUUCUGGGCCGCACGCGCGCUACACUGAUGCAUUCAACGAGUCUAAAACCUGCUCUGAUAGGGGUGGGUAAUCUUUUGAAUGUGCAUCGUGAUUGGGAUAGAUGAUUGCAAUUUUUCGUCUUCAACGAGGAAUGCCUAGUAAACGCAAGUCAUCAGCUUGCAUUGAUUACGUCCCUGCCCUUUGUACACACCGCCCGUCGCUCCUACCGAUUGAAUGAUCCGAUGAAUAUCAUGGAUUGAGGAUGCAAGUAGGUUCGCCUAUCUUCAUCUUCGAGAAGUGAAGUAAAUCUUAUCAUUUAGAGGAAGGAGAAGUCGUAACA